Molecule: ribosomal RNA, 2352 nt
Filed under: Escherichia coli
Lineage: Bacteria; Pseudomonadati; Pseudomonadota; Gammaproteobacteria; Enterobacterales; Enterobacteriaceae
Description: bacterial LSU rRNA
Rfam family: Bacterial large subunit ribosomal RNA
Source: RNAcentral
GUGUGACUGCGUACCUUUUGUAUAAUGGGUCAGCGACUUAUAUUCUGUAGCAAGGUUAACCGAAUAGGGGAGCCGAAGGGAAACCGAGUCUUAACUGGGCGUUAAGUUGCAGGGUAUAGACCCGAAACCCGGUGAUCUAGCCAUGGGCAGGUUGAAGGUUGGGUAACACUAACUGGAGGACCGAACCGACUAAUGUUGAAAAAUUAGCGGAUGACUUGUGGCUGGGGGUGAAAGGCCAAUCAAACCGGGAGAUAGCUGGUUCUCCCCGAAAGCUAUUUAGGUAGCGCCUCGUGAAUUCAUCUCCGGGGGUAGAGCACUGUUUCGGCAAGGGGGUCAUCCCGACUUACCAACCCGAUGCAAACUGCGAAUACCGGAGAAUGUUAUCACGGGAGACACACGGCGGGUGCUAACGUCCGUCGUGAAGAGGGAAACAACCCAGACCGCCAGCUAAGGUCCCAAAGUCAUGGUUAAGUGGGAAACGAUGUGGGAAGGCCCAGACAGCCAGGAUGUUGGCUUAGAAGCAGCCAUCAUUUAAAGAAAGCGUAAUAGCUCACUGGUCGAGUCGGCCUGCGCGGAAGAUGUAACGGGGCUAAACCAUGCACCGAAGCUGCGGCAGCGACGCUUAUGCGUUGUUGGGUAGGGGAGCGUUCUGUAAGCCUGCGAAGGUGUGCUGUGAGGCAUGCUGGAGGUAUCAGAAGUGCGAAUGCUGACAUAAGUAACGAUAAAGCGGGUGAAAAGCCCGCUCGCCGGAAGACCAAGGGUUCCUGUCCAACGUUAAUCGGGGCAGGGUGAGUCGACCCCUAAGGCGAGGCCGAAAGGCGUAGUCGAUGGGAAACAGGUUAAUAUUCCUGUACUUGGUGUUACUGCGAAGGGGGGACGGAGAAGGCUAUGUUGGCCGGGCGACGGUUGUCCCGGUUUAAGCGUGUAGGCUGGUUUUCCAGGCAAAUCCGGAAAAUCAAGGCUGAGGCGUGAUGACGAGGCACUACGGUGCUGAAGCAACAAAUGCCCUGCUUCCAGGAAAAGCCUCUAAGCAUCAGGUAACAUCAAAUCGUACCCCAAACCGACACAGGUGGUCAGGUAGAGAAUACCAAGGCGCUUGAGAGAACUCGGGUGAAGGAACUAGGCAAAAUGGUGCCGUAACUUCGGGAGAAGGCACGCUGAUAUGUAGGUGAAGUCCCUCGCGGAUGGAGCUGAAAUCAGUCGAAGAUACCAGCUGGCUGCAACUGUUUAUUAAAAACACAGCACUGUGCAAACACGAAAGUGGACGUAUACGGUGUGACGCCUGCCCGGUGCCGGAAGGUUAAUUGAUGGGGUUAGCGCAAGCGAAGCUCUUGAUCGAAGCCCCGGUAAACGGCGGCCGUAACUAUAACGGUCCUAAGGUAGCGAAAUUCCUUGUCGGGUAAGUUCCGACCUGCACGAAUGGCGUAAUGAUGGCCAGGCUGUCUCCACCCGAGACUCAGUGAAAUUGAACUCGCUGUGAAGAUGCAGUGUACCCGCGGCAAGACGGAAAGACCCCGUGAACCUUUACUAUAGCUUGACACUGAACAUUGAGCCUUGAUGUGUAGGAUAGGUGGGAGGCUUUGAAGUGUGGACGCCAGUCUGCAUGGAGCCGACCUUGAAAUACCACCCUUUAAUGUUUGAUGUUCUAACGUUGACCCGUAAUCCGGGUUGCGGACAGUGUCUGGUGGGUAGUUUGACUGGGGCGGUCUCCUCCUAAAGAGUAACGGAGGAGCACGAAGGUUGGCUAAUCCUGGUCGGACAUCAGGAGGUUAGUGCAAUGGCAUAAGCCAGCUUGACUGCGAGCGUGACGGCGCGAGCAGGUGCGAAAGCAGGUCAUAGUGAUCCGGUGGUUCUGAAUGGAAGGGCCAUCGCUCAACGGAUAAAAGGUACUCCGGGGAUAACAGGCUGAUACCGCCCAAGAGUUCAUAUCGACGGCGGUGUUUGGCACCUCGAUGUCGGCUCAUCACAUCCUGGGGCUGAAGUAGGUCCCAAGGGUAUGGCUGUUCGCCAUUUAAAGUGGUACGCGAGCUGGGUUUAGAACGUCGUGAGACAGUUCGGUCCCUAUCUGCCGUGGGCGCUGGAGAACUGAGGGGGGCUGCUCCUAGUACGAGAGGACCGGAGUGGACGCAUCACUGGUGUUCGGGUUGUCAUGCCAAUGGCACUGCCCGGUAGCUAAAUGCGGAAGAGAUAAGUGCUGAAAGCAUCUAAGCACGAAACUUGCCCCGAGAUGAGUUCUCCCUGACUCCUUGAGAGUCCUGAAGGAACGUUGAAGACGACGACGUUGAUAGGCCGGGUGUGUAAGCGCAGCGAUGCGUUGAGCUAACCGGUACUAAUGAACCGUGAGGCUUAACC